RNAcentral lists this ribosomal RNA (443 nucleotides) under uncultured Oscillospiraceae bacterium. RNAcentral's name for it is "bacterial SSU rRNA". It matches the Rfam family "Bacterial small subunit ribosomal RNA", at positions 335 to 796 of the family's 1533-position model. The record is from RNAcentral. Lineage: Bacteria; Bacillati; Bacillota; Clostridia; Eubacteriales; Oscillospiraceae.
UCCCUACGGGAGGCAGCAGUGGGGAAUAUUGCACAAUGGGCGAAAGCCUGAUGCAGCGACGCCGCGUGAGGGAAGAAGGUUUUCGGAUUGUAAACCUCUGUCUUCGGGGACGAUAAUGACGGUACCCGAGGAGGAAGCCACGGCUAACUACGUGCCAGCAGCCGCGGUAAAACGUAGGUGGCAAGCGUUGUCCGGAAUUACUGGGUGUAAAGGGAGCGCAGGCGGACUGGUAAGUUGAAUGUGAAAACUAUGGGCUCAACCCAUAGAUUGCGUUCAAAACUACUGGUCUUGAGUGAUGUAGAGGUAGGCGGAAUUCCCGGUGUAGCGGUGGAAUGCGUAGAUAUCGGGAGGAACACCAGUGGCGAAGGCGGCCUACUGGGCAUUUACUGACGCUGAGGCUCGAAAGUAUGGGGAGCAAACAGGAUUAGAUACCCUGGUAGUCC